Molecule: ribosomal RNA, 432 nt
Filed under: uncultured bacterium
Lineage: Bacteria
Description: partial 16S ribosomal RNA
Rfam family: Bacterial small subunit ribosomal RNA
Source: RNAcentral
ACGAACGCUGGCGGCAUGCCUAACCCCUGCAAGUCGAACGAGACCUUCGGGUCUAGUGGCGCACGGGUGCGUAACGCGUGGGAACCUGCCCUUAGGUUCGGAAUAACUCCCCGAAAGGGGUGCUAAUACCGGAUAAUGUCUUCGGACCAAAGAUUUAUCGCCUUUGGAUGGGCCCGCGUUGGAUUAGCUAGUUGGUAGGGUAAAAGCCUACCAAGGCGACGAUCCAUAGCUGGUCUGAGAGGAUGAUCAGCCACACUGGGACUGAGACACGGCCCAGACUCCUACGGGAGGCAGCAGUGGGGAAUAUUGGACAAUGGGCGAAAGCCUGAUCCAGCAAUGCCGCGUGAGUGAUGAAGGCCUUAGGGUUGUAAAGCUCUUUUACCCGGGAUGAUAAUGACAGUACCGGGAGAAUAAGCGCCGGCUAACUCCGUG